CAGCCGCCGCGGGAAUACGAGGGGGGCAAGCGUUGUUCGGAAUUAUUGGGCGUAAAGGGUGCGUAGGCGGUUUGAUAGUCAUCUGUGAAAUCUAUGGGCUCAACCCAUAGUCUGCAGGCGAAACUGUCGGGCUUGAGUAUUGGAGAGGUGAGUGGAAUUUCCGGUGUAGCGGUGAAAUGCGUAGAGAUGUGGAGGAACACCAGUGGCGAAGGCGACUCUCUGGUCUGUAACUGACGCUGAGGAGCGAAAGCGUGGGGAGCGAACAGGAUUAGAUACCCGAGUAGUCCCUGUCUCUUAUACA
RNAcentral lists this ribosomal RNA (301 nucleotides) under uncultured bacterium. RNAcentral's name for it is "partial 16S ribosomal RNA". It matches the Rfam family "Bacterial small subunit ribosomal RNA", at positions 509 to 808 of the family's 1533-position model. The record is from RNAcentral.